GACAGGCGUAGUCGAUGGACAACGGGUUGAUAUUCCCGUACCGGCGAAACAACGCCCGUGCUGAGGCGCGCGAUGCUAAGCAUGCGAGACUGUCUGUUGCCUUUCGGGGUGGCGGGUGGUUGAGUCUGUGACCCGAGUGUGUAGUAGGCAAGCUGCGGAGGGACGCAGGAAGGUAGCUCAUCCUCACGCGUUGGUUGUCUGAGGCUAAGUGUGUAGGGUGGGAUGUAGGUAAAUCCGCAUUCCGUGAUGCCUGAGACAUGAUGGGCCCGCACCUUUGGUGGUGCGGGUUGAGUGAUCCUAUGCUGCCUAGAAAAGCUUCGUUAGCGAGUUGUUAGCCGCCCGUACCCUAAACCGACACAGGUGGAUAGGUAGAGUAUACCGAGGCGAUCGGGAUAAUCGUGGUGAAGGAACUCGGCAAAAUACCCCCGUAACUUCGGGAUAAGGGGGACCUGAAGCGUAUUAGACUUUUGCGUUGAAAGCGUUGAGGGUCGCAGAGACCAGGCCCAAGCGACUGUUUACUAAAAACACAGGUCCGUGCCAACUCGUAAGAGGAUGUAUACGGACUGACUCCUGCCCGGUGCUGGAAGGUUAAGGGGAACUGUCAGCCACCUUGUGUGGUGAAGCGGUGAACUUAAGCCCCAGUAAACGGCGGUGGUAACUAUAACCAUCCUAAGGUAGCGAAAUUCCUUGUCGGGUAAGUUCCGACCUGCACGAAUGGAGUAACGAUUUGGGCGCUGUCUCCACCACGAACCCGGUGAAAUUGCAUUACGAGUAAAGAUGCUCGUUACGCGCAGCAGGACGGAAAGACCCCGGGACCUUUACUAUAGUUUGGUAUUGGUGAUCGGUGUGACUUGUGUAGGAUAGGUGGGAGACUGUGAAGCCGGGACGCUAGUUUCGGUGGAGUCGCCGUUGAAAUACCACUCUGGUCACUCUGGUUAUCUAACCUAGGACCGUUAUCCGGUUCAGGGACAGUGCCUGAUGGGUAGUUUGACUGGGGCGGUCGCCUCCUAAAAGGUAACGGAGGCGCCCAAAGGUUCCCUCAGCCUGGUUGGCAAUCAGGUGUUGAGUGUAAGUGCACAAGGGAGCUUGACUGUGAGACUGACGGGUCGAGCAGGGACGAAAGUCGGGACUAGUGAUCUUCUGGUAGCGAAUGGAAGCGCCAGGACUCAACGGAUAAAAGGUACCCCGGGGAUAACAGGCUGAUCUUGCCCGAGCGUCCAUAGCGACGGCAUGGUUUGGCACCUCGAUGUCGGCUCGUCGCAUCCUGGGGCUGGAGUCGGUCCCAAGGGUUGGGCUGUUCGCCCAUUAAAGCGGCACGCGAGCUGGGUUUAGAACGUCGUGAGACAGUUCGGUCCCUAUCCGCUGCGCGCGUAGGAGUCUUGAGAAGGGCUGUCCUUAGUACGAGAGGACCGGGACGGACCAACCUCUGGUGUGCCAGUUGUUCCGCCAGGAGCACGGCUGGUUGGCUACGUUGGGAAGUGAUAACCGCUGAAAGCAUCUAAGCGGGAAGCACGCUUCAAGAUGAG
This 1526-nucleotide ribosomal RNA is filed under the name human metagenome. RNAcentral's name for it is "bacterial LSU rRNA". It matches the Rfam family "Bacterial large subunit ribosomal RNA", at positions 1404 to 2808 of the family's 2925-position model. The record is from RNAcentral.